Molecule: unclassified non-coding RNA, 362 nt
Filed under: fungal sp.
Lineage: Eukaryota; Fungi
Description: partial internal transcribed spacer region
Rfam family: Eukaryotic small subunit ribosomal RNA (bases 1-46)
Source: RNAcentral
AAGUCGUAACAAGGUUUCCGUAGGUGAACCUGCGGAAGGAUCAUUAACACGUAUCCAAACGUUAAACCCCCCUGUGAACCUUCACCUGUACUCGUACGUCCGUUAGAAAAAGCAGCAAUCCCUGGUAAAUCAUCGCCGAACAGUUUUCGAUUCAGGGACGUCUGCAAGGAGCGUGCAUGUUGUGCGAAGCAAGUGGCCUGGCAUCCCCAAGCAGUUAGUGUCUGAAAGUGUCAUUACCUGUGUAAGGAUGACGCAGUCACGAUCGUUGGAGGCCCACACGGCCGACGACCGGGUCGCUGGGCGCAAGCCCCUACAGUCGACCAAAAACCGAACAACUGUUAACAAUGGAUAUCUUGGUUCUC